GAUGAAUGCUGGCGGCGUGCCUAAUACAUGCAAGUCGAGCGAACGGACGAGAAGCUUGCUUCUCUGAUGUUAGCGGCGGACGGGUGAGUAACACGUGGAUAACCUACCUAUAAGACUGGGAUAACUUCGGGAAACCGGAGCUAAUACCGGAUAAUAUUUUGAACCUCAUGGUUCAAAAGUGAAUGACGGUCUUGCUGUCACUUAUAUAUGGAUCCGCGCUGCAUUAGCUAGUUGGUAAGGUAACGGCUUACCACGGCAACGAUGCAUAGCCGACCUGAGAGGGGGAUAGGACACAGUGGAAGUGAGAGACGGUCCAGACUCCUACGGGGGGCAGGAGUAGGGAAUCUUCCGAGAUAGGCGAAAGCCUGACGGAGCAACGCGGGGUGAGUGAUGAAGGUCUUCGGAUCGGAAAACUCUGUUAUUAGGGAAGAACAUAUGUGUAAGCAACUGUGCACACCUUGACGGUACCUAAUCAGAAAGCCACGGCUAACUCCGUG
Molecule: ribosomal RNA, 497 nt
Filed under: uncultured bacterium
Lineage: Bacteria
Description: partial 16S ribosomal RNA
Rfam family: Bacterial small subunit ribosomal RNA
Source: RNAcentral